Molecule: ribosomal RNA, 468 nt
Filed under: uncultured bacterium
Lineage: Bacteria
Description: partial 16S ribosomal RNA
Rfam family: Bacterial small subunit ribosomal RNA
Source: RNAcentral
GACGAACGCUGGCGGCGUGCUUAACACAUGCGAGUCGAACGGAAAGGCCCUGCUUUUGUGGGGUGCUCGAGUGGCGAACGGGUGAGUAACACGUGAGUAACCUGCCCUUGACUUUGGGAUAACUUCAGGAAACUGGGGCUAAUACCGGAUAGGAGCUCCUGCUGCAUGGUGGGGGUUGGAAAGUUUCGGCGGUUGGGGAUGGACUCGCGCCUUAUCAGCUUGUUGGUGGGGUAGUGGCUUACCAAGGCUUUGACGGGUAGCCGGCCUGAGAGGGUGACCGGCCACAUUGGGACUGGGAUACGGCCCAGCCUCCUACGGGAGGCAGCAGUGGGGAAUAUUGCACAAUGGGCGGAAGCCUGAUGCAGCAACGCCGCGUGCGGGAUGACGGCCUUCGGGUUGUAAACCGCUUUCGCCUGUGACGAAGCGUGAGUGACGGUAAUGGGUAAAGAAGCACCGGCUAACUACGUG